This 1312-nucleotide long non-coding RNA is filed under the name Struthio camelus australis. RNAcentral's name for it is "lncRNA (ENSSCUG00000008621.1)". The record is from RNAcentral. Lineage: Eukaryota; Metazoa; Chordata; Aves; Struthioniformes; Struthionidae.
AUGCUCAUCUUUCACUCCUCGCUAAAGAAAAAUGGUAUUAUUUUAGAAGAUAGGCUCCCGGAAAAUCCCACGAGGGUUAAUACUGAUCUCAUCCCCGUGAGGAUCCCUGUAAAACCUCUACAUUUACAGGAUGGAAAUUGGGAUUGCCUGGCUGAGUACCAUUGCCCUGACCUGCCAGCACUGGAUGGAGAAUCAGGCCAGGGGUUUGGAGACUUUCCAUCUGCAGGCUGGAGUGUAUGGCUGGCUAUACACUGGAAGCCUGGGAUAAGAGCAAAGCGCCCCCUGGGAGAUGUGAUGUUUCCGGACUGCUAAUGUCACAGCAUGACCUGUUAAUAACCUGCGAGAGACUUCCUCCAAUCCGCAGCCUCCCUCUUCCCCGAGGACCGAGCAGCUGCAGUCACAUGGAUCGAAUGCCUUCCUUGUAUGCGGUUCAUUGAGAAAAAUUCAAGCAUGUGGCCUGAGGUUCCCCUGAUGACUGUCUGGGGAUGAUGAUUUCUACCAUCUGUUCUGGCUGCCUGCAGCUCCCGGAAACACCGAGGUGUAUGUUGCUUCUGGCCAUACGUGGGAUUCUUAAUGAAACCUCAGCUGCUGCCCAACUGUCUGUGAAUAUCAGAUGUGUUUGAAUUAUCUUUCCGCCAAGAGGGGAAGGAGAAGCACUUUGUUUAACUCUUUAAUCUGAACCACUACACAGUGCGUGCAUAAUCACAGGGUACAAAGCCACAGAGUUAUUAGCAUCUGCAUCGCGAUGGCAGCUGUAGUAUUUGCACGUGUGUCAGCUCUGUCCUGUUUGAAAUGCCCAAGCUGGUUGUUUCCAGGCUAAAUAUACAGCCUUGGGGUAAAUUCAUCCUACUGUAACUCACUUGGAAGCGCUGUAAUUAUAGCAGAGAUUUAUUUGAUCCCUUCACUUCUGAUUUGUGUUAGGACAAAUUUCAGCCAUAUAAAUUGUAUACUGGUAUUUGACAAAGGCUGCUUAUCACACACAGUCAAGGAAUUGCAGCAGUUUCAAAGGUAUUUAUUGAGACAGAGGAAGUCACAUCAAAUUGAUAUAAUUCUUUGUAGAUGAAAGAGACUUCCAUGCCAAGAAAAACUUUAUAUCAAAUAGAUAGCAAUCACUUGUCCUUCAGGGUUUGAUUUUCUGUCUGUUAAUUUCCCUGUAAUUCAUCAUUUAGAACCUUUUCUUACAAUUUUCUGAAUAUCAGAUUUCAAUGGAAGUUGAGAGGCACCAAAUAACUAAAGAACCAGGUCUCAGUAGAAAGGUUUUGACGUUCUUGUUAGAAUUACCUACGCUUCACCCAUUGAUAUGCACAGUGUU